Molecule: long non-coding RNA, 629 nt
Filed under: Equus caballus (horse)
Lineage: Eukaryota; Metazoa; Chordata; Mammalia; Perissodactyla; Equidae
Description: lncRNA (ENSECAG00000045527.1)
Source: RNAcentral
CCAUCUUUUCAUUUUCUUGAUAGUUUCCUUUGCUGUGCAGAAGCUGUUCAGUUUGAUGCAGUCCCAUUUGUUUAUUUUUUCUAUUGUUUCACUUGCCUGGUUGGAUGUGGCACUUGAAAAUAUGCUGCUAAGACUGAGUGCUGGAAGUCAGUGAAAUAUUGUGACCCCAUUAUGGAGCACCAGACAUCCAAGUUCAAAUUCUGGAUCUGCCACUUGCCAAGGGGAAGGUUGUCAUGUUUUCUGAACUCUCUCAGCCUCAAAGUUGUUCCACAGAUAAAAUCUAUAUAAGUAUGGGAUGGUUUGCAGAUCACGGCAGCAUCGUAUGCCACGGUGCUGUAACAUCAAUGAAUACAUGGAAUGUCAGAUACUCAGCUAUCAUGUUUUGCAAACACAGAAGUAGUGAAAAUGUUUUACUAAAAAUCUAUGCACAGAACCUAGAAUCUUCAAACCUCUGAGGCAUCUUCCCACAGAGGAAUCUCUUGUAUUUCUAAUCUGGUUCAAACUGCUAUUGUCGCUAAUAUCUGAAUAGAAAUAUUUCACUGAACUAUGAAAAGCAUGUAAAGAGGUAAAAUCUAAAAGGCUUAAAGAAAGAAUACACUUUAAAAUAUAUCAUUUUUGAAAAAAGUAAA